GUUUAGGUCACAUAUUAUUUUAUUAGUCACAAGUUAUCAAUCACAUACUAUUUAUUCGUCAAAAAAUAUCUUAUUUAUUGAUCACAAUCUCAAAUAAUUGGUUACAAACACUCAUAAUCCGGCCACGUAUCCCACCCAGCCUCAAUUCACCAUGGCACCAACCGAAAGUCAAGAUUACAAAUUUAGUCCUAACCUUAUAUUUUUCUAGGUCACAAAUUAACAAUUUUAUUGGUCGCAAUCAUAAAUAAUUGAUCACACACUUCUCACCACAUGCCACCCACCAAUCGAAAGCAUUGCGAUCUCUCUACCAUCGUCACUACCAAUACGUCCCCACAAUCGCACUUCACCAUCAGCAGUACCGCAUCACCAUCACCGCCCGCACCCCCAUCUCACCACCAUUGCUUCACAACAUCUCUUCCAACACUACCACACUAUAGCCACCACCCCACCAACAAAAUCAGCAAACUCGCCACCGCCAUCUGCACUUUCAAUACACCAUAAAUCAACCCUCAACUCCGGCACCACAAAAUCAAAAAGAGAGAUAGACGAGAAAACCUUAUUUUUGCAAAACUAAAUUUCUAUGAUUAUUGUAUUGAAUUUAAAUUCCCAAAAUGUAGUAGAUCUCAUAGGUGGUAUCCUAGAGAAGGUGAUUGGCGCAGCUUUGUUGCGUAAUGAAGAUCCUAUCGUCACGUAGAGCUCUGGAGAAUGUUAUCAGUAAUGAUGUGGUCACAUUGCAAGAUUGUAGGUGGAUUGUUGGGGCACCACACGCAGCAAUCGACUUGUUGGAUUGUGCUCCCAAUCUGACCGCGUUGUGCAUGUGUGAGAGAGUGAAUGGGAGGUAUCGUUGAUGGGUAUGGGUGAGAUUUUAGGGUUGUUAAGUUGAGGGAUUAUAAUAUAUAUUUUUAAUUCGAAAAUAAUAAUUAUAACUUUAAAAAAAAAAUAGUUCUAACUUGAUUUUUGAUAUUGAGAAUUUAAAUGUAGGGGUGAGUAGAAUUUCCACUUGUCAAAAUAUGAGCUACUCAUUAAGAAAAAUAGACACAUAUAACACUAGUUAGGGAUGAAAAAUGAUUGUGUACUCUUCUCUAAAAUUCUCUCUCAUACAAUUUUAUUUAUAGCAUCAAUAUUAGAAAAGGGAUUU
RNAcentral lists this long non-coding RNA (1138 nucleotides) under Olea europaea subsp. europaea. Lineage: Eukaryota; Viridiplantae; Streptophyta; Magnoliopsida; Lamiales; Oleaceae. The record is from RNAcentral.